CAUUCGUAUUUCAUAGUCAGAGG
This 23-nucleotide non-coding RNA is filed under the name Arabidopsis thaliana (thale cress). Lineage: Eukaryota; Viridiplantae; Streptophyta; Magnoliopsida; Brassicales; Brassicaceae. The record is from RNAcentral.